This 494-nucleotide ribosomal RNA is filed under the name uncultured bacterium. RNAcentral describes it as "bacterial SSU rRNA". It matches the Rfam family "Bacterial small subunit ribosomal RNA", at positions 903 to 1397 of the family's 1533-position model. The record is from RNAcentral.
AAAUGAAUUGACGGGGGCCCGCACAAGCGGAGGAACAUGUGGUUUAAUUCGAUGAUACGCGAGGAACCUUACCCGGGCUCGAACGGCAGAGGGAUGAAUCAGAGAUGGUUCAGUCAGCAAUGACUUCUGUCGAGGUGCUGCAUGGUUGUCGUCAGCUCGUGCCGUGAGGUGUCGGCUUAAGUGCCAUAACGAGCGCAACCCUUGUUGUCAGUUGCCAUCAGGUAAAGCUGGGGACUCUGGCAAGACUGCCACCGUAAGGUGUGAGGAAGGGGGGGAUGACGUCAAAUCAGCACGGCCCUUACGUCCGGGGCGACACACGUGUUACAAUGGUCGGUACAGAGGGCAGCUACUAUGUGAAUAGGUGCCAAUCUCAAAAACCGGUCUCAGUUCGGAUUGGAGUCUGCAACCCGACUCCAUGAAGUUGGAUUCGCUAGUAAUCGCGCAUCAGCCAUGGCGCGGUGAAUACGUUCCCGGGCCUUGUACACACCGCCCGU